This is a long non-coding RNA of Corvus hawaiiensis (hawaiian crow), 1007 nucleotides long. RefSeq lists it as uncharacterized. The transcript is spliced from 3 exons. The record is from RefSeq and is a predicted model, not a curated record. Lineage: Eukaryota; Metazoa; Chordata; Aves; Passeriformes; Corvidae.
GCCCCGCCGUCCCUUCCCCGGGAUCCCAGCCCCGUGGAGCUGCCGCCCGCUGCGUCCCGAUGGAACCAGCGGGGCUGGAUCGCCGUGAGCGGGAGGAGCUGCUCCGGGGCUCCACCCGCAGGUGGACCCCUCCAGGUCUCCACCUGCUGCAUUUUUCCCUGCUUCCUGAAGGAGGUGAUACCUGUCAGACCACUGGGCUCAUCUACAUCCUUGGUCCCCAGGGAGAUGUAUGAGGACUCUGCCCAUGCUACCUGCUCCAAAGCUCAAAGAAAAGAUCCCUAAGAUUGAUGACGGGGUACCACUCCCAGCAGCUGUGCAAAGAUGCCAAAAGCAGCCCACAGCCCAGCGCUCCCCCGAGUUGCCUUCGCUUUCACGUGCUGCCCUUUGGGCAGGCCCUCCUUUUCCAGCCCAGAAACCAGAGGUUUUGUGGAGAAGCCCAGGCACACCAGCCUCAUCCUCACUGCCUGUGCACAGGCGACAGGAGUUGGACAGAGAUCUGUGCCACCUCCGGACCUUCUGGCGACCCCGCAGAUCCAACCACUCCCCCAGGUAUCCCAAAACAUGCUUCAGUGGGUCCAACACUAGAGUGUCGGGGAGCCCCUUGUAUGACCCCACUAAUUCUGGGAUCUCGGUUCAAUCAGACAAGACCUGGUGCAUAAUGAGGGAAAAGACACAAACUCUCCCAUAAAUGCAUAAAGUUACUUUAUUUUCAGUAUACAUUUAAUUUUGAAAAAUAUAAAUGCUAAAAUAUCUCAUCAUCUUCAUCUUUUGAUUCCAUAAAAGUCACAAUAGAAAGCUUCAUAAAACUGUAAAAUACUAUAAUGUUAUAAGGAAUUUCAUGUUUUAUAUUACUGGAAAAAAAAAUCAUCACUUUAAUAUAUUUGAAAUGUUUUCUGCUUUUUUCCUUUUAGUUCCACCACCUGAUCCACUUCGUUUCAUCCUAAGCUCUCAUUCUCUCCUCCAAAGCAAACACGGACUUAGGAGAAUUAAAAACAAUAAUGAAAGUA